This 182-nucleotide ribosomal RNA is filed under the name uncultured bacterium. RNAcentral's name for it is "partial 16S ribosomal RNA". It matches the Rfam family "Bacterial small subunit ribosomal RNA", at positions 322 to 525 of the family's 1533-position model. The record is from RNAcentral.
GGGCACGGGGGGCCUACGGGAGGCAGCAGGGAGGAAUAUUGGACAAUGGGCGAAAGCCUGAUCCAGCAAUGCCGCGUGAGUGAAGAAGGCCUUAGGGUUGUAAAGCUCUUUCGCCCGCGACGAUGAUGACGGUAGCGGGAGAAGAAGCCCCGGCUAAUUCCGUGCCAGCAGCCGCGGUAAUA